GUUCGACUUCCAAAAUGUUUGGAAACCACGGAAGGCCCGUUGGAUGUUCAGCUUCCAAAAAUAGUUUGCAAACCGGAACACUGACUUCCAGGUUUGCUACAUUCGGGAGCCAAAACGUUCAAGAACUAAGCUGUUCGGAAACCAAGGUAUGACUAUACAGAGAAAAUGUCAUAAGGUACUUGCAAGUGUUUAAGUUCCGCAGAUCAAAGUGGUUCAGUAGGCAUGUAGGGGGCAAGGCAAUCCCUCAGCUAAACAAGUUCCAAGCUGUUAAGGGCUGCAUAUACUUGGAGACCUUGGAUGUGGGCCAGUGGCAAAUUGGCAGCUAGUGCAGAACUUUGAGCAGAGGUGAACUAUGCUAGCAGAAUCUCAUUUGGGUCAGCAACCAAACUGCAACAUUCUGUAGUAACUGCAGAUUCCAGACAAAUUGCAAGGAAAGCCCCACAUAGAUUGCUCUGCAGUAAUGCAGUCUUGAAGUUACCAAUGCCUGAAUUACUUCGGUCAAGCUAUCCAGCUCCAGGAAUGGCUACCACUGCCACAUCUGAUGAGACUCUGGGAAGGUGCUCCUAGCCACAGGGGUCAGCUGGGUCUCUAGUAAACAGGUCCAUUUUUCAGAUAUACGAACUACUCAUCCACAACACUUGCUGGAAUUCAAACUUACUUUAUUCACUCUAAUCUAGCUCACCACUGUAUCCAGGUCCUGGUCCAGGCCUGCAUAGCCUCCUUAGUGAGAUGCCAUUGAGAAAUAGAGCUAAGUGUCUCAAAUCACCUAAUGUAAUGGUUCUAGGGGUUGCUCGUGCGUAAGCAGGUACCUAUCUCCCCGGCUGGGUGGAAACACCUGGCUGGGUUGCCAAAGUGAACCUUUUUCUGUCCGGACAGCCACUCACCCGUGGCUGACUCAAUCGCUGGCAGAAUCCGUGAGUGGGCGUUUCUUAAACUACUUCCAGCAAAGAAGUUCUUUGACGCCUAGUCUCCGCCUACCCUCUCUGCGCGGAAGCCUUCUGCACAGGGAGGGCGUGGGCAACGGAGGACCCCUACUCUCCCCGCUGGUCCCAGGCAAGGAGUCAUGAGACCGCCUCGCCACUUCCCCCAGCUGCCCCCCUUCUCCACUGGUGCUACGCUGAUUCUCUUCCCCAGAAGAUGGGCUGCUCCUCCCGAUCCCUGGACGCUCUCUGGAAUCCCUCUGGCUUUUGCUCUCCCCCUCCAGUACUGAUGGCAGUUCACUGACACCUAACAAUAUGAAAAGCUAAGAAGAAACAUAGGUCUUUCCUUUGCUCAGGUGUUUGUCUAUCUGAAGCAUAAGAAACUAUUGAAUUUCAAGGUGAUGUUCAAGACAGAAUGUGAUGGUACUGGGGAAAGGCUGUAACUCAGUGGUUGAGCAUCUGCUUUCUAUGCAUGAGGUCUUAGGUUCAGUCACCAGCAUCUCCAGGUAGUGUUGAGAACGGUUUCCUUGUCUGAAAUCGUGGAAUUUUGAAGGGUGUCUGUAUUUUGGUUCUCAUAUUUCAGAAAGUAUGAAUUUGGUAGAUUCAGCUUUCAAUAAGAACUAAAUCGAAUUUGUCCCUCAUCCCUAGUCAUAACAUGCAUGUUCCUGACUGGGGUGGUGGUGGUACAGAGUUACAUAAGAGAAUGACACAUUUCCUGUUUUUUUUACUAGAUUUGGAAUGUUUGUUUGUGUUCCUGAAACUAAAAGGACAUGAAUAGAACUGCCCAAGAUUGACCUCUAAGUAAAGGACGCUUUCAUGAGCCACGCUGAGGACUGCUUCGCACAAUACAACAACCAAAAGGAGUCCACAUGAAACUGUUCCAUACACCUUGUGGCUUUUGUUCUUCACUGGCAAAUAUCCUUUUCCGUGGCUUUUCAUAGAAUGCAGCCAAAUUAAGAGGUCAGGCUGAUCUAUAUGACAAACCAGUAUGUACAAAAUGGCUUGCUGCAAGGAGCUCUUGCCACCCAGAGGCAGUUUCAGGCUGGCAGUGCAUAUGGUGUCUGCAUUACAAAAUGUACCCCUUUCUUAAAAUGGUAUUUUUUAUUGUAUUCUUAAAAGUAAAUAAUGUAGAGUGAGUAAAUAAGAUAAAAACAUAGAUCCAAAGACUGCUAGAAAAUACUCAAAGAAAGAAAAAAGAAUGAACAACAAAGAUGAAACCUUAAGAGUUGCUUGUUAAGCUGACGUUUUUUAAGUUCCAAGGUGUAUUAAACUGAAUCUGAAUUUCAUCCAAUGCACAUCCAUAUUAUGUGAGGAAGUACAAAAACUGAUUUAAACAUCAUCUGUGAAAAUAGCCUAAGUUUUGUCUUGAUACAGGGCAGAUGACUGACUUUUUCCCAUUAGCUGGACUGGGAUUCUGCAAGUGGUCAGCACUCCUGUGGGUUACUGAGGGCAAUUAUGUACUUCUGCCUACAAGUCAAAGAUUAAAUGGUGGAAGAGUUAUGAGCAUUUCCAACCACCACACUUCUUAAUUAUUUACUUUCUUUUCUUAAACCUGAGCUCUGAAGGGAAAAUAUUUGCUCCUUUUUCUCUUCCUGCAAGCCCCUCUAAAACCAUUUAUUAUUAAAGAUCUUCUGGGGAAAGAUGAGGACAAAAAAGACUCCUAUCUAGCAAGCAAACAAACAAACUUUUUUGCUUACCUUAUUUUGCUUGCUCUAUCAUGUGUUGAAUUACUGAAUAAUAUCAAGUGAGAUCUAGACAUUUGGAUGAUAUAAUGUGGUGGAACAAUGUUUUGCUUGCAGCAAUUAUUUGUGAGUUUAGGCAUCUGCAACACGUUCAGGAUUUGUGUGAGAUAAGACUCUGAAAUAACUUUAACAUUGCCCUCCUCUGUCUAUUGUGAAUAAAAAGAUGAAUGCAGUUGGAGAAUAAAGUAUUACACAAGUGACUUCAGCAAAUCAGCGACACAGGCAGCAAAGGAAGGAGGCAGAUGUACAGAGAAACAAAUACAUAAAUAAGUUCUCUAACAUCUCAGUAAUCAAUCAGAACAAUUAUGUUUCUAACAACUCAUUCCCACAACAGUUUUUGGGUUUUUUUGUAAUUAAACAGGUCUCUUCCCUCUCCCCCCCUCUGGCCCCGCAUAUACUUUUCAUUAGGGUGGCAGUACUCACAUCUCAUUUACUGUGUGGACA
RNAcentral lists this long non-coding RNA (3106 nucleotides) under Podarcis lilfordi (Lilford's wall lizard). The record is from RNAcentral. Lineage: Eukaryota; Metazoa; Chordata; Lepidosauria; Squamata; Lacertidae.